RNAcentral lists this ribosomal RNA (459 nucleotides) under uncultured bacterium. Its description in RNAcentral is "partial 16S ribosomal RNA". It matches the Rfam family "Bacterial small subunit ribosomal RNA", at positions 338 to 795 of the family's 1533-position model. The record is from RNAcentral.
CCUACGGGAGGCAGCAGUGAGGAAUAUUGGUCAAUGGGCGGGAGCCUGAACCAGCCAAGCCGCGUGAGGGAAGAAGGUACAGCGUAUCGUAAACCUCUUUUGUCAGGGAACAAAGGCGGGGACUAGUCCCCGGAUGAGGGUACCUGAAGAAAAAGCAUCGGCUAACUCGGUCCCGGAGCCGGCGUAAUUCCGGGGGAGGCGGGCGUUUUCCGGAUUGUUGGGGUUAAAGGGGUGCGCAGCCGGCCUGUUAAGUCAGCGGUAAAAGCCCGGGGCUCAACCCCGGCGAGCCGUUGAAACUGGCGGGCUGGAGUUGGAGAGAAGUACGCGGAAUGCGCGGUGUAGCGGUGAAAUGCUUAGAUAUCGCGCAGAACCCCGAUUGCGAAGGCAGCGUACCGGCUCCACACUGACGCUGAGGCACGAAAGCGUGGGUAUCGAACAGGAUUAGAUACCCUAGUAGUC